Molecule: long non-coding RNA, 676 nt
Organism: Polypterus senegalus (gray bichir)
Lineage: Eukaryota; Metazoa; Chordata; Cladistia; Polypteriformes; Polypteridae
Exons: 3
Source: RefSeq, a predicted model, not a curated record
UUUGAUUCAGUACUGAUUCAGUACUAUGACUAUGUAAUGUUGCGCUGUUCAAAAAAAAUAGAUAUUUAUAUAGUUUGCUUCCUUAACAUUACUCUCCUUAGCAUUAAAAGUGUCAGAGCAAUAGCAUCAUCUACUUAUAUACUAAUGUGCAAAAGUUUAGAAUCUACUAUUUUUAGUAGAAAUUAAUACUGUAGUGGAGCCACAUAGGUAUUGUUUAUUGUGUUGCACCCAGUCGCGUCUCGUCUCAGCACCCCGUUUAAACUAAUGCAUGUCUGUUUAAAUGUCGAGAAACAGGGAAGGGUGCUGCAAGGAGGCAGCGACCCCAUGGACACAUCAGGACCAGGAUUUUACCAGUUACAUCCGGCUCAUCAUUAUUUAAACCAUCAGGAGGGAAAGAAGAGGAGGAAGGAGAAAGACGGAGAUUUCAUUUACCAACAACCACUCAUCAUUUUCUGCCACUAUUUACAUCACGCCUUGAUCCAGUUUUGCUUCUCAUUCCACUGGAAUCACAACAGCCCAAUCAUCGCCAGAAACCCUGGGGUUGGACAUUAUUAUCCGUCUUUCGCCGAGGAAGCACGUCUUUAAACCUUCGAUUGGGAAAGAUGGAAAAUAUUAAUUGUCAGAGGUGCGGCUUGGUAUAGGUAAAAUUUCCAUCCAUUCAUCCAUUUUCCAACCC